UGGGGAAUAUUGCACAAUGGGCGCAAGCCUGAUGCAGCCAUGCCGCGUGUAUGAAGAAGGCCUUCGGGUUGUAAAGUACUUUCAGCGGGGAGGAAGGUGUUGUGGUUAAUAACCGCAGCAAUUGACGUUACCCGCAGAAGAAGCACCGGCUAACUCCGUGCCAGCAGCCGCGGUAAUACGGAGGGUGCAAGCGUUAAUAGGAAUUACUGGGCGUAAAGCGCACGCAGGCGGUCUGUCAAGUCGGAUGUGAAAUCCCCGGGCUCAACCUGGGAACUGCAUUCGAAACUGGCAGGCUAGAGUCUUGUAGAGGGGGGUAGAAUUCCAGGUGUAGCGGUGAAAUGCGUAGAGAUCUGGAGGAAUACCGGUGGCGAAGGCGGCCCCCUGGACAAAGACUGACGCUCAGGUGCGAAAGCGUGGGGAGCAAACA
RNAcentral lists this ribosomal RNA (427 nucleotides) under uncultured bacterium. RNAcentral describes it as "partial 16S ribosomal RNA". It matches the Rfam family "Bacterial small subunit ribosomal RNA", at positions 355 to 774 of the family's 1533-position model. The record is from RNAcentral.